GACGAACGCUGGCGGCGUGCUUAACACAUGCAAGUCGAACGGAAAGGCCCUGCUUUUGUGGGGUGCUCGAGUGGCGAACGGGUGAGUAACACGUGAGUAACCUGCCCUUGACUUUGGGAUAACUUCAGGAAACUGGGGCUGAUACCGGAUAGGAGCUCCUGCUGCAUGGUGGGGGUUGGAAAGUUUCGGCGGUUGGGGAUGGACUCGCGGCUUAUCAGCUUGUUGGUGGGGUAGUGGCUUACCAAGGCUUUGACGGGUAGCCGGCCUGAGAGGGUGACCGGCCACAUUGGGACUGAGAUACGGCCCAGACUCCUACGGGAGGCAGCAGUGGGGAAUAUUGCACAAUGGGCGGAAGCCUGAUGCAGCGACGCCGCGUGCGGGAUGACGGCCUUCGGGUUGUAAACCGCUUUCGCCUGUGACGAAGCGUGAGUGACGGUAAUGGGUAAAGAAGCACCGGCUAACUACGUG
This 468-nucleotide ribosomal RNA is filed under the name uncultured bacterium. RNAcentral describes it as "partial 16S ribosomal RNA". It matches the Rfam family "Bacterial small subunit ribosomal RNA", at positions 28 to 507 of the family's 1533-position model. The record is from RNAcentral.